AUGGCCAAGAAGGCUGGCGCUGAUAGGACCGCGACGGUGAAGGCAGAAAGCUGCUCCAGGAAGAAGGCUAAGGUCGGGCCCGAGGCCAAGGCUGCGUCCUCGAAGAUCACUGUCACCUUAGACCCCAAGUUGCUGGAGUGCUCGGUUUGUUGCAGCCCACUGGUUGCUCCCCUUUCUCAGUGCGCAAAUGGCCAUAUCACAUGUUUCAACUGCUCCUCCGAUCUGAACUACAGUUGCAGCUUGUGUUCUGGGCCCGCCAACACCCACUGCAGUGCCUUGGAGCGCAUCCUCGGCGGCCUGGCCGUGCCGUGCUCGUUCCAGGAGCAUGGGUGCACCGAGAUGAUCCCGUUCACGGAGAAGCUGGCCCAUGAAGAGUCCUGCCUCCAUGCCCCAUGCCACUGUCCCGUCGCUGGCUGCUGCCCCUACCCCGGCCGGUCCCUGCGCGACCACAUCAACGCGGAUCACCCUACGAUCCAGUACACCCGCAUCACGGCCGGCCGCCUCUACCCCCUGAGCAUGCGCCAUGACGAGCCGGCCCGCCUUGUAUCCCUCGGCAGCAAGGCAGUCUUUCUUCUUGUGGUUGACCGGAGCAUCCCGUCGGGGCUCACAUUGUCGGUGAUCCACCUCAUGAGCGACCCGAUCGAGAGGGAGGAUUUCAAGUACAAGAUCCAAGUGCAUACGCAGACGGGCAUUCUCUCUCUGUCCGGCGAGACACAGAGUGUCAGUCGACUGAGGGGGCCUUACCAGGCUGGCGCGUCGCUGUUCGUCUCGGACACCAUGUGGUCUCCCCCAGAUUCUCCAGUGUACCUCGAGCUGAAAUGCUAA
Molecule: ribosomal RNA, 825 nt
Filed under: Triticum aestivum (bread wheat)
Lineage: Eukaryota; Viridiplantae; Streptophyta; Magnoliopsida; Poales; Poaceae
Description: partial small subunit ribosomal RNA
Source: RNAcentral